Molecule: ribosomal RNA, 354 nt
Filed under: uncultured Aminicenantes bacterium
Lineage: Bacteria; Candidatus Aminicenantota
Description: bacterial SSU rRNA
Rfam family: Bacterial small subunit ribosomal RNA
Source: RNAcentral
GCCAGUAGAGGUGCUGCAUGGCUGUCGUCAGCUCGUGUCGUGAGAUGUUGGGUUAAGUCCCGCAACGAGCGCAACCCUUACCCUUAGUUGCCAGCGGGUAAUGCCGGGCACUCUAAGGGGACCGCCCCGGAUAACGGGGAGGAAGGCGGGGAUGACGUCAAGUCAGCAUGGCCCUUAUGUCCAGGGCUACACACGUGCUACAAUGGGCGAUACAGAGGGAAGCAAGGCCGCAAGGUAGAGCUAAUCCCUAAAGUCGUCCUCAGUUCGGAUUGCAGGCUGCAACUCGCCUGCAUGAAGUCGGAAUCGCUAGUAAUCGUGGAUCGGAAUGUCACGGUGAAUACGUUCCCGGGUCUC